RNAcentral lists this transfer RNA (74 nucleotides) under Pseudobdellovibrionaceae bacterium. Its description in RNAcentral is "Bdellovibrionaceae bacterium tRNA-Arg". It matches the Rfam family "tRNA". From Rfam's summary of the family: Transfer RNA (tRNA) molecules are approximately 80 nucleotides in length. Lineage: Bacteria; Pseudomonadati; Bdellovibrionota; Bdellovibrionia; Bdellovibrionales; Pseudobdellovibrionaceae. RNAcentral also lists the same sequence under 2 other names. The record is from RNAcentral.
GGGCGGUUAGCUCAGUUGGAUAGAGCACGUGGCUUCGAACCACGGGGUCAGGGGUUCGAAUCCCUUACCGCCCA